RNAcentral lists this ribosomal RNA (463 nucleotides) under uncultured bacterium. RNAcentral describes it as "partial 16S ribosomal RNA". It matches the Rfam family "Bacterial small subunit ribosomal RNA", at positions 28 to 507 of the family's 1533-position model. The record is from RNAcentral.
GAUGAACGCUGACAGAAUGCUUAACACAUGCAAGUCGAUGGGGAAGUGGUGCUUGCACCCUGGUAACCAUGGCGGACGGGUGAGUAACGCGUAAGGAACUUGCCUGCGGGACUGGGAUAACAGCAGGAAACUGCUGAUAAUACCGGAUAAGGUCAUUAAGCUGCAUAGCUUAGUGAUGAAAGGAGACGCCUGCGGAGAGCCUUGCGUCCUAUUAGCUAGUUGGAGGGGUAACGGCCCACCAAGGCGAAGAUAGGUAGCCGGCCUGAGAGGGUGGACGGCCACAAGGGGACUGAGAUACGGCCCUUACUCCUACGGGAGGCAGCAGUGGGGAAUAUUGGACAAUGGGGGCAACCCUGAUCCAGCAAUUCUGUGUGCACGAAGACGGUUUUCGGAUUGUAAAGUGAUUUCAGCAGGGAAGAAGGAAGUGACGGUACCUGCAGAAGAAGCGACGGCUAAAUACGUG